Molecule: ribosomal RNA, 482 nt
Filed under: uncultured bacterium
Lineage: Bacteria
Description: bacterial SSU rRNA
Rfam family: Bacterial small subunit ribosomal RNA
Source: RNAcentral
UUGAACGCUGGCGGCAUGCCUUACACAUGCAAGUCGAACGGCAGCACGGGAGCAAUCCUGGUGGCGAGUGGCGAACGGGUGAGUAAUAUAUCGGAACGUGCCCAAUCGUGGGGGAUAACGCAGCGAAAGCUGUGCUAAUACCGCAUACGCCCUGAGGGGGAAAGCGGGGGACCUUCGGGCCUCGCGCGAUUGGAGCGGCUGAUGUCGGAUUAGCUAGUUGGUGGGGUAAAGGCCUACCAAGGCGACGAUCCGUAGCUGGUCUGAGAGGAUGAUCAGCCACACUGGGACUGAGACACGGCCCAGACUCCUACGGGAGGCAGCAGUGGGGAAUUUUGGACAAUGGGCGCAAGCCUGAUCCAGCCAUGCCGCGUGAGUGAAGAAGGCCUUCGGGUUGUAAAGCUCUUUCAGACGGAAAGAAAUCGGGCGCGUGAAUAGCGUGCCUGGAUGACGGUACUGUCAGAAGAAGCACCGGCUAACUACGU